GGGUUGUGAGGUUAAGCGACUAAGCGUACACGGUGGAUGCCCUGGCAGUCAGAGGCGAUGAAGGACGUGCUAAUCUGCGAUAAGCGCCGGUAAGGUGAUAUGAACCGUUAUAACCGGCGAUUUCCGAAUGGGGAAACCCAGUGUGAUUCGUCACACUAUCAUUAACUGAAUCCAUAGGUUAAUGAGGCGAACCGGGGGAACUGAAACAUCUAAGUACCCCGAGGAAAAGAAAUCAACCGAGAUUCCCCCAGUAGCGGCGAGCGAACGGGGAGGAGCCCAGAGCCUGAAUCAGCAUGUGUGUUAGUGGAAGCGUCUGGAAAGGUGCGCGAUACAGGGUGACAGCCCCGUACACAAAAGCGCAUGUGCUGUGAGCUCGAUGAGUAGGGCGGGACACGUGGUAUCCUGUCUGAAUAUGGGGGGACCAUCCUCCAAGGCUAAAUACUCCUGACUGACCGAUAGUGAACCAGUACCGUGAGGGAAAGGCGAAAAGAACCCCGGCGAGGGGAGUGAAAAAGAACCUGAAACCGUGUACGUACAAGCAGUGGGAGCACCCUUCGGGGUGUGACUGCGUACCUUUUGUAUAAUGGGUCAGCGACUUAUAUUCUGUAGCAAGGUUAACCGUAUAGGGGAGCCGGAGGGAAACCGAGUCUUAACCGGGCGUUAAGUUGCAGGGUAUAGACCCGAAACCCGGUGAUCUAGCCAUGGGCAGGUUGAAGGUUGGGUAACACUAACUGGAGGACCGAACCGACUAAUGUUGAAAAAUUAGCGGAUGACCUGUGGCUGGGGGUGAAAGGCCAAUCAAACCGGGAGAUAGCUGGUUCUCCCCGAAAGCUAUUUAGGUAGCGCCUCGUGAAUUCAUCUCCGGGGGUAGAGCACUGUUUCGGCUAGGGGGCCAUCCCGGCUUACCAACCCGAUGCAAACUGCGAAUACCGGA
This 934-nucleotide ribosomal RNA is filed under the name Salmonella enterica subsp. enterica serovar Typhimurium. RNAcentral describes it as "bacterial LSU rRNA". It matches the Rfam family "Bacterial large subunit ribosomal RNA", at positions 1 to 967 of the family's 2925-position model. Lineage: Bacteria; Pseudomonadati; Pseudomonadota; Gammaproteobacteria; Enterobacterales; Enterobacteriaceae. The record is from RNAcentral.